RNAcentral lists this long non-coding RNA (602 nucleotides) under Physcomitrium patens. RNAcentral's name for it is "long non-coding RNA (PPAT_LNC013349)". Lineage: Eukaryota; Viridiplantae; Streptophyta; Bryopsida; Funariales; Funariaceae. The record is from RNAcentral.
UUUUCUACAAUUUAAGUAUAUUUUGGAGGCAAUUCAAUAGUUCAAAAAGAAGAUAUUGGUACUAAAAUUUCAACAUUGAGAUUGGAAUAGGAGGCUGGCCAACAUCCAAGUGGAAUCUUCUAUUUGGUAAGUUUAAUAUUCUUAAAAUUUGGUAUGCUUAUUGCCAACUUAGUUGUUAAAAGGUGUGUAAAAUCUUAAGUAAGAUCAAUAAUAUAAUUGAUAGAUAUUGAGGUUCUAAAUUGUCCCAAGAUUAAGUUAAUUUGAUUAGAAUUUGGUUUAGGAUUUAGGAAUUGGUUACGAUUUAGGGUUGGUUUAGGAUUUAGUUAGGAUUUGAUUUAGGAUUUAAGUAAGGACUAUUAGGAUUUUAAUUAGAAUUUAAAUAAGAUUUGGUUAGAAUUGAUUCAAGAUAUAUUUUGGAUUUUAUUUUAAUAUUUCUUUUGAAUUUCUAUAGGAUAUGUUUAUGCUUCUUUUGUAAUUUAUUUGAGGUUUCUUUGGAAUGAUUAAAGAUUGAUUAAUAUUUUUAAGGUUUAAUUGGAGUUAUUUAGGACUCUUUUAGAAUUAAAAUCUUGUUGUUGCCAUAUUCCUUCUACCUUCCACAACUA